RNAcentral lists this long non-coding RNA (240 nucleotides) under Manihot esculenta (cassava). RNAcentral's name for it is "long non-coding RNA (MESC_LNC009618)". The record is from RNAcentral. Lineage: Eukaryota; Viridiplantae; Streptophyta; Magnoliopsida; Malpighiales; Euphorbiaceae.
CUCAAUUACCACCAGAAUGAGCGUCUAGCAGGUUCUUGAGUAGAUCCACCACCUUCAUCUUGUGAUUGAGAGCUUUGAUCUUGAUGAUAUUGAUAAUAUUGUGAUGGAUCAAAGCUGAAGAAUGAACCCAUACCAAAUUGAUCACUAGGAUUGGACUGGGUUUGAGUGUGGGAGAAUGAUUGCUCUGACAAAGAUAAAUCAGAAUACGAUGGAGGAGGCUGAUAUGGAUAUGGAUUUGAG